CCUACGGGAGGCAGCAGUGGGGAAUAUUGCACAAUGGGGGAAACCCUGAUGCAGCGACGCCGCGUGAGUGAAGAAGUAAUUCGUUAUGUAAAGCUCUAUCAGCAGGGACGAAAAUGACGGUACCUGAGUAAGAAGCCCCGGCUAACUACGUGACAGCAGCCGCGGUAAUACGUAGGGGGCAAGCGUUAUCCGGAUUUACUGGGUGUAAAGGGAGCGUAGACGGCAGUGCAAGUCUGGAGUGAAAGGCGGGGGCUCAACCCCCGGCCUGCUCUGGAAACUGUACGGCUUGAGUGCAGGAGAGGUAAGUGGAAUUCCGAGUGUAGCGGUGAAAUGCGUAGAUAUUAGGAGGAACACCAGUGGCGAAGGCGGCUUACUGGACUGUAACUGACGUUGAGGCUCGAAAGCGUGGGGAGCAAACAGGAUUAGAUACCCCUGUAGUC
Molecule: ribosomal RNA, 440 nt
Filed under: uncultured bacterium
Lineage: Bacteria
Description: partial 16S ribosomal RNA
Rfam family: Bacterial small subunit ribosomal RNA
Source: RNAcentral